UUGGUUUUGCCUUUGGCUUCCUCCUGUCUUUGGCUUUUGCUUCCUCCGGUUUUUUGCCUUCUUUUCUCCUGAUGUGCUGGACCGUUCAUACUGCAGUCGCCACUUAUGACGAUCCUUCAUGAAGCCUCGGCCAUUUUCUUUCUCAUCUAGCAUCUCUUUCCCUAUCCGCAGUGGAGCGGUGCCGCAACAAGAGGUGAAGAUGACGCAGGAGAAAGCCCCCAAAGGUGGGACCAUCUACCAUCGGCCACCAUGGGAGGACUGGCGACUGGCAUGACAUGUUGCUUUUGGAGAAGAUCGGUAAAGGUGGAGGCCAUUGGGAUUUUGGGAGGAACUUCCGCCAAAGUUGGGCAUCGGUAGUGCAGCAGCAUGAGUGGCGAACACUCGACCUAUCUCCCUAGCAAGACCACACCUUCUCCGCCACGGCUUCUCCCUGUCGGCUGAGCUGCUAGCUUCACCAUCCUUCCUCGGUCGCUCUCCUUCGCCUUAGCUGGCUCCUUGACCCCAUGGCUCAAGUAUGGUGUAAGUGCUGGAAGCAGCGAUAUACCCUCCACAAGAUGCACUUGUAGGGCGGCCUUAAUUUUUGCUACAACGGCCGGAGUACCAACUGCUGUUCAUGGUGGUGUGUACGCGAUUGGAGCAGGUGGCUACGGAGGUUUUUUUUCCCAACAUGGAUGGUAGCAUAACCUACGGAUCGAUCCACCACCUCUUCGACAUAGGCAUAGUGUCGGUCUAAAGGACUCUACUGUUGCCGAUUUGUCGAUUUUUAUUUCAUGAAUUUUUGUCAGACUUUUGGAUUUGGCUGUGUGCAUCUUAGUUACGCAGAGGCCGGGUGUUACUCAUAAUGCUUUGUAUCCGCUUGAUGCUACAUUUUGAGAUAAUAAAGUCGCCCUCUAUCGAAAAAAAUGUCUCCAAGACAUAACGACGGCGGCGAGGAUAUGGUGUUCACUGCUAUGGGAGACGAAGAACAAGAUGUCGCCAUUGCUAUACUUUGGUGAAUUGGAAACAGUGCGGGGUGCAGGAAAUGGCUGCUAGGGGUGUGUUAGAAGGACGAUGUAAUAAAUUGGAUUGGAUGGAGUACGACUCACGUCCACCACACACAUCCAGGAAACAAGAACCCGGUCCAAGAAGAUGAGCAAACGUCGGGACCGUAGAAGACCAUGGUCGGCUCCAGCAAUAAUGGCUACCUGACAAGGCGCAGCGGCACUGUUCGAUAAUGUUGUUUCCUGCCGAAAUACUCAAGC
Long non-coding RNA from Triticum aestivum (bread wheat), 1241 nucleotides. RefSeq lists it as uncharacterized. The record is from RefSeq and is a predicted model, not a curated record. The transcript has 3 exons. Lineage: Eukaryota; Viridiplantae; Streptophyta; Magnoliopsida; Poales; Poaceae.